Ailuropoda melanoleuca (giant panda) is the source of this 3382-nucleotide RNA transcript. It is a transcript of the gene named chitinase domain containing 1, with no coding region annotated. The record is from RefSeq and is a predicted model, not a curated record. The transcript has 2 exons. NCBI's taxonomy places the organism in Eukaryota, Metazoa, Chordata, Mammalia, Carnivora, Ursidae.
AGCAGGCUCAUAGCAGAAGAGCCUGAUGUGGGGCUCGAUCCCAUAAUGCCAGGAUCACGCCCUGAGCCGAAGGCAGACGCUUAACCGCUGCGCCACCCAGGCGCCCCCUCACAUAGGAAUUCUUAAAUAAAGCUGGGAUCCUUUUGCGUGUGCGCAUUUUGUAACAUUUGCACUGACCAGUGCACGGUGAGCAUGUAGUGCCUGUCCAUACUCCAGCGUACGGAAGUGUGUGUCAUUCUGUUUAAACGGUGCUGUGAUGGACCUCCUCGUGCGUUCUCCACGUAAGUGCAGAAGUCCCCCAAAGUGUGAUCUGUGAAGGGAAACGUGUUGGAAAGUAUAUUUAUGACUAGAUUGUUAUACACAAGAUUUUCACAAAUUGAAUUCUCAGGAGCAACUCGUGAGAAUGGUUGCUGCCCCAGGUCCACACCACUAGCAUCGUACUCUUUAGUCCUCACCAACACUGCGUGUCUACUCCUUUAAUUGCUGGUGAAGCUGAGGUGCUAUUUCUGGGGCUUAAGGCACCUCUGUGUAUUACAGGGGAUCUCUGUGUAUUCCAGGGCGUCUCUGCCUAUUCCAGGAGAUCUCUGCGUAUUCCAGGGGAUCUCUGCGUAUUCCAGGGCGUCUCUGCGUAUUCCAGGGCGUCUCUGUGUAUUCCGGGGGAUCUCUGUAUAUUCCAGGGCGUCUCUGCCUAUUCCAGGAGAUCUCUGCGUAUUCCAGGGGAUCUCUGCGUAUUCCAGGGUGUCUCUGCAUAUUCCGGGGGAUCUCUGCGUAUUCCGGGGGAUCUCUGUGUAUUCCAGGGCGUCUCUGCGUAUUCCGGGGGAUCUCUGCGUAUUCCAGGGGAUCUCUGUGUAUUCCAUAGCGUCUCUGCGUAUUCCAGGGGAUCUCUGCGUAUUCCAGGGUGUCUCUGCGUAUUUCAGGGUGUCUCUGCAUAUUCCAGGGGAUCUCUGCAUAUUCCAGGGUGCCUCUGCGUAUGUCAGGUGAUCUCUGUGUAUUCCAGGGGAUCUCUGCAUAUUCUGGGGCAUCUCUGCGUAUUUCAGGGUGUCUCUGCGUAUUCCAGAGCGUCUCUGCGUAUUCCAGGGGAUCUCUGUGUAUUCCAGGGCGUCUCUGCGUAUUCCGGGGGAUCUCUGCAUAUUCCAGGGGAUCUCUGUGUAUUCCAGAGCGUCUCUGCGUAUUCCAGGGGAUCUCUGCGUAUUCCAGGGUGUCUCUGCGUAUUUCAGGGUGUCUCUGCAUAUUCCAGGGGAACUCUGCAUAUUCCAGGGUGCCUCUGCGUAUGUCAGGUGAUCUCUGUGUAUUCCAGGGGAUCUCUGCAUAUUCCGGGGCAUCUCUGCGUAUUUCAGGGGAUCUCUGCCUAUUCCAGGGCAUCUCUGUGUAUUCCAGGGUAUCUCUGCGUAUUUCAGAGUAUCUCUUUGUAUUCCAGGGGAUUUCUGCAUAUUCCAGGGCACCUCUGCGUGUUCCAGGGGAUCUGUGUGUAUUCCAGGAUGUCUCUGUGUAUUCUGGGGGAUCUCUGUGUAUUCCAGGGGAUCUCUGCGUAUUCCAGGGUGUCUCUGCGUAUUUCAGGGUGUCUCUGCAUAUUCCAGGGGAUCUCUGCAUAUUCCAGGGUGCCUCUGCGUAUGUCAGGUGAUCUCUGUGUAUUCCGGGGGAUCUCUGCAUAUUCCGGGGCAUCUCUGCGUAUUUCAGGGGAUCUUUGCCUAUUCCAGGGCAUCUCUGUGUAUUCCAGGGUAUCUCUGCGUAUUUCAGAGUAUCUCUUUGUAUUCCAGGGGAUUUCUGCAUAUUCCAGGGCACCUCUGCGUGUUCCAGGGGAUCUGUGUGUAUUCCAGGAUGUCUCUGUGUAUUCUGGGGGAUCUCUGUGUAUUCCAGGGGAUCUCUGCGUAUUCCAGGGGAUCUCUGUGUAUUCCAGGGGAUCUCUGUGUAUUCCAGAGCGUCUCUGCGUAUUCCAGGGGAUCUCUGCGUAUUCCAGGGUGUCUCUGCGUAUUUCAGGGUGUCUCUGCAUAUUCCAGGGGAUCUCUGCAUAUUCCAGGGUGCCUCUGCGUAUGUCAGGUGAUCUCUGUGUAUUCCAGGGGAUCUCUGCAUAUUCCGGGGCAUCUCUGCGUAUUUCAGGGGAUCUCUGCCUAUUCCAGGGCAUCUCUGUGUAUUCCAGGGUAUCUCUGCGUAUUUCAGAGUAUCUCUUUGUAUUCCAGGGGAUUUCUGCAUAUUCCAGGGCACCUCUGCGUGUUCCAGGGGAUCUGUGUGUAUUCCAGGAUGUCUCUGUGUAUUCUGGGGGAUCUCUGUGUAUUCCAGGGGAUCUCUGCGUAUUCCAGGGGAUCUCUGUGUAUUCCAGGGGAUCUCUGUGUAUUCCAGGGCGUCUCUGCCUAUUCCAGGAGAUCUCUCCACAUUCCACAGCACCUGUGCAUAUUUCAGGGGAUCUCUGCAUAUUCCAGGGCAUCUCUGUGUUUUCCAGGGGAUCUCCGUAUAUUGCAGGGCGUCUCUGCAUAUUCCGGGGGAUCUCUGUGUAUUCCGGGGGAUCUCUGUAUAUUCCAGGGUGUCUCUGCAUAUUCCAGGGGAUCUCUGUGUAUUCCAGGGGAUCUCUGUAUAUUCCAGGGGAUCUCUGUAUAUUCCAGGGGAUCUCUCUGUAUUCCGGGGUGUCUCUGUGUACUCCAGGGCAUCUCUGUGUAUUACAGGCAUCUCUGUAUCUUGGGUGUGUAUAACAUGGGUUACUCCUGCAUUAUGGCAUAUCUCUAUGUUACAAUGUGUCUGUAUUACACAGUAUCUCUAUUAUGGGGUAUCUAUUAUGGGGUAUCCCUGGCUGGCUUUACAGGGUAUCUGUGAUAGCCUGUCUGUAUGGGGCACCUGUGUGUUACAGAGUUUGGGGCUUUGUGUACUAAGAGGUAUGACUACACCUCUUCAUUUCCUGUAUUUUUGUAGUGGGGCAUUUUUUUUUUUUACUGGAGCCUCUUAUUCUUGAUUUGUAAGAGUUCUUUGCUCAUUAUGAAUAAAUAAUGGGUAGGAAUGCUUUGAGAAGUACGUUCUAAUUAUUUUUUUUCUGGUUUAGUAUUUCUUUAAAUUUGCUUUUUUGUUUCCUAAAUGAAAGUGUCACGUUUCCUUUUUUUUUUUUUUUAAGAUUUUGUUUAUUUAUUUGACAGAGCACAAGCAGAGGGAGAUGUAGAAUGAGGCUCCCCCACCGUGCCCCCCCCCUCCCCCUGCAAGCAGGGAGCCCGAUGCCGGGCUCAAUCCCAGGACCUGAGAUCAGAUCAGAUCAUGACCUGAGCCAAAGCCGCCUGGCCCCCAAGGUUGGACCGCGCCGUGAUACUCCCACCAUGAGGACGCUGCUCAGCACGCUUUGGCUUGCUCUGGCUUGCAGCUCUGUGCAUACUACUCUGUCAAAGUCAGAUGCCAAAAAGGCCGC